Molecule: transfer RNA, 66 nt
Filed under: Psylliodes affinis
Lineage: Eukaryota; Metazoa; Arthropoda; Insecta; Coleoptera; Chrysomelidae
Description: tRNA-Arg
Source: RNAcentral
AAAUAAGAAGCAAAUAUUUGCCUUUAGUUUCGACCUAAAAAUUUGAUUUAAAUAAAUCCUUAUUUU